UUGAGAGAUUGGGGGGAAUUUUUUUGAU
Molecule: unclassified non-coding RNA, 28 nt
Filed under: Encephalitozoon intestinalis
Lineage: Eukaryota; Fungi; Microsporidia; Unikaryonidae
Source: RNAcentral